Molecule: long non-coding RNA, 437 nt
Organism: Notothenia coriiceps (black rockcod)
Lineage: Eukaryota; Metazoa; Chordata; Actinopteri; Perciformes; Nototheniidae
Exons: 3
Source: RefSeq, a predicted model, not a curated record
GACAGUUCACUAGCACCCCCCCCCACUUGGGUUUAAAAAUUAAAAGCCUGUGGUGAAGCUGGUGUACAACAGAAGCAAUAACAAGUACUCCUACACCAGUAACUCGGACGACAACCUGUUGAAGAACAUCGAGCUGUUCGACAGGCUGUCGCUCAGCUUCAACGGCCGCGUCCUCUUCAUCAAAGAUGUGAUUGGAGACGAGAUCUGCUGCUGGUCCUUUUACGGUCAGAGUCGCAAGCUGGCCGAGGUGUGUUGCACCUCCAUUGUCUACGCCACGGAGAAGAAGCAGACCAAGGUGUGCAUGAGUGCAGCCAUGUUCAGACCAACCAUUGCCCUGCAUCUCUGGAGGCUCAACAGGUUGCCUAGAAACACAACGAGGGGUCAUUCAACAAAAAAACGUGAUCUGCUUAGAGCCGAGGCAUUUCUGACACAUCUCU